CGCUGGCGGCAGGCUUAACACAUGCAAGUCGAACGCCCCGCAAGGGGAGUGGCAGACGGGUGAGUAACGCGUGGGAAUCUACCCAGAUCUUCGGAACAACUGAGGGAAACUUCAGCUAAUACCGGAUACGCCCUACGGGGGAAAGAUUUAUCGGUUCUGGAUGAGCCCGCGUUGGAUUAGCUAGUUGGUGGGGUAAUGGCCUACCAAGGCGACGAUCCAUAGCUGGUCUGAGAGGAUGAUCAGCUACACUGGGACUGAGACACGGCCCAGACUCCUACGGGAGGCAGCAGUGGGGAAUUUUGGACAAUGGGGGCA
Molecule: ribosomal RNA, 315 nt
Filed under: uncultured bacterium
Lineage: Bacteria
Description: bacterial SSU rRNA
Rfam family: Bacterial small subunit ribosomal RNA
Source: RNAcentral